AGGGCACCACCAGGAGUGGAGCCUGCGGCUUAAUUUGACUCAACACGGGAAAACUCACCCGGCCCGGACACCGUAAGGAUUGACAGACUGAGAGCUCUUUCUUAAUUCGGUGGGUGGUGGUGCAUGGCCGUUCUUAGUUGGUGGAGCGAUUUGUCUGGUUAAUUCCGAUAACGAACGAGACUCUGGCCUAUUAAAUAGACGAUAUAUUAAAAAGUAUAUCGCACUUCUUAGAGGGACAAGCGGCGUCUAGCCGCAUGAAAUAGAGCAAUAACAGGUCUGUGAUGCCCUUAGAUGUCCGGGGCUGCACGCGCGCUACACUGAAAGAAUCAGUGGGCGUUAAACCUAGUUCGGAAGAACCGGGUAACCCAAGUAAAUUCUUUCGUGCUUGGGAUAGGGAAUUGCAAUUAUUUCCCUUAGACGAGGAAUUCCCAGUAAAUUCGGGUCAUAAGCUCGAGUUGAUUACGUCCCUGCCCUUUGUACACACCGCCCGUCGCUACUACCGAUUGGAUGACUUAGUGA
This 519-nucleotide ribosomal RNA is filed under the name uncultured eukaryote. RNAcentral describes it as "SSU rRNA". It matches the Rfam family "Eukaryotic small subunit ribosomal RNA", at positions 1161 to 1704 of the family's 1831-position model. The record is from RNAcentral.